GAGUUUGAUCUUGGCUCAGAAUAAACGCUGGCGGCGUGCCUAACACAUGCAAGUCGAGCGAGAAAGUUCCUUCGGGGAACUAGUAAAGCGGCGAACGGUUGAGUAACACGUGAGAAUCUACCCUUCAGUGAGGAAUACCACCGAGAAAUCGGUGUUAAUACUGCAUACGUCCCUUCGGGGAGAAAGGUGGCUUUAAUGCUGCCGCUGAUGGAUGAGCUUGCGAGCUAUCAGUUAGUUGGUGAGGUAAUGGCUCACCAAGGCUAUGACGGCUAUCCGGCCUGAGAGGGUGUACGGACAGACUGGGACUUAGACACGGCCCAGACUCCUACGGGAGGCAGCAGUGGGGAAUAUUGCGCAAUGGGCGAAAGGCCUGACGCAGCGACGCCGCGUGAAGGAUGAAGGUCUUCGGAUUGUAAACUUCUGUUAAGUGGGAAG
RNAcentral lists this ribosomal RNA (435 nucleotides) under uncultured Nitrospira sp. RNAcentral's name for it is "bacterial SSU rRNA". It matches the Rfam family "Bacterial small subunit ribosomal RNA", at positions 9 to 447 of the family's 1533-position model. The record is from RNAcentral. Lineage: Bacteria; Pseudomonadati; Nitrospirota; Nitrospiria; Nitrospirales; Nitrospiraceae.